Molecule: small nucleolar RNA, 79 nt
Filed under: Lepisosteus oculatus (spotted gar)
Lineage: Eukaryota; Metazoa; Chordata; Actinopteri; Semionotiformes; Lepisosteidae
Description: Small nucleolar RNA U2-30 (ENSLOCG00000019702.1)
Source: RNAcentral
GAGCUAUGAUGUAAAUAAAUUUGUCUGAAGUACAAAAAAAUUGUAUUUCAUGAAGAUCUCUACACUUGAACUGAGCUCA